Sphaerodactylus townsendi is the source of this 1399-nucleotide long non-coding RNA. RefSeq lists it as uncharacterized. NCBI's taxonomy places the organism in Eukaryota, Metazoa, Chordata, Lepidosauria, Squamata, Sphaerodactylidae. The transcript is spliced from 3 exons. The record is from RefSeq and is a predicted model, not a curated record.
AAGCAUUCCAGUCCGAGGCACAAAAGGAUUGUUUCCCUUUCGAAAUAUUUUUCAAUGCAACGUCGGAGCAGAAUGAAGUGGUGUGGAAGAAGACUUUGACUGGCUGGCCAUGUCCUUCGCAUGGAGAACGGUCGGAUCCCAAGGACAGCAGUGAGAAGGAUGCCUCCUGAUGCCAAACGACAGUGAGGACGACCCCCCCCCCCCACCUGGAGGAGAACAUUUGACCUGAAGGGAACUUAUGAAUCAGGAGAGAUUGGACAUGGACAUCUAGAAGGACACAACCGUCAGCACUGACCUGCCAAGCUGCCACUGAAAAUGAUUAAAUAUUGCUUUCCUCUAAUGUUCCUCCGUCUUGCUGAGUAUCACAGACACACCCAAAGCAGAAUGGUAAAAACAACUGCCCCGUUAAGUCCCACACAUAUUUCAUGUGCUCAAAAUUCAUUUUAGCCACAUUUCACUUGCAAAAGACACGCUCUCGAGCAGUGGUUCCCUCCCGGCCUUUCAUGCCUUAUGUCCCACUAACCACCAUCAAAGAACCAUGGUGGAGGGUGCAUCAAGCUACAUGAUUUAUGGCGACCCCUAGUGGGGUUUUCAAGGCAAGAGACUAACAGAGGUGGUUUGCCAUUGCCUGCCCUUGCAUCAUGACCAUGGACUUCCUUGGAGAUCUCCCAUCCAAAUACUUGCCACGACCGACCCAACGUAACAGAAACAAAAUGCCCACUUUUCCCAUGAAGAACAUUUGUAUGUUUACUGUCAUUACAUUUAUCAUUAAAUGAAGUUUUUAAGGACAUAGCAAAAGUUGUAGAAGAAAAAGAGUUUGGCUCUCUCAACGGAUAAUCCCUGACAAGCAGAGUCCGAAGGAAAUGGCCUAUUGAAGACACUUGCUGAAAGGCAGGGAGAACAGGGGAUGAAGAGAAACGCUGCAUGGCAAAGGUUACUACUUGCAUGUCAAAAAGUUCACAGAGUUGGCACAUCAUGCUUGAGAGGUGGAAAUGGAGAUUGAAGAACAAAGUCCUAGUCAUUGUUAUGAAAACCCUGCACCCCACCUAACAAAUUGAAAGCCACUGCUCUAGAGAGCUGCACGAUACAGGCUUUCUUCUGCUAAAACAGGCUUGAUUGAGAGACAUUUCAGUACAACUCAACUGGUAGGAUCCAGGCUAAAUUUUCCACUAUCAGUGGCGGAGAUGUAAUUACAACCCACAAUUUCUGAGCUGUUUGGACACAGGGAAGAGGCUGAAGCCUGUGAGCUUAAGAGCAACCCUGUCAGUGGUCCAAUUGGCCAUGCUGGCAGGGGCUGAUGGGAUAUGUAGCCAAGAACAUCUGGAGAGCUGCAGGUUGCAGACCCCUGAUUCUAGUCCAGUAUCCAGUGGCCAGUUGCUUGCCCUGGAGGGCCAACAAA